GACGUAGGGCGCGAGCGUUGUCCGGAUUUAUUGGGCGUAAAGAGCUCGUAGGCGGCUUGUCGCGUCGAAUGUGAAAACUCGGGGCUCAACUCCGAGAUUGCAUUCGAUACGGGCAGGCUAGAGUUCGGUAGGGGAGACUGGAAUUCCUGGUGUAGCGGUGAAAUGACGCAGAUAUCAGGAGGAACACCGGUGGCGAAGGCGGGUCUCUGGGCCGAUAUCGACGCUGAGGAGCGAAAGCGUGGGGAGCGAACAGG
Molecule: ribosomal RNA, 254 nt
Filed under: uncultured bacterium
Lineage: Bacteria
Description: partial 16S ribosomal RNA
Rfam family: Bacterial small subunit ribosomal RNA
Source: RNAcentral